GACGAACGCUGGCGGCGUGCUUAACACAUGCAAGUCGAACGGAAAGGCCCUGCUUGCAGGGUGCUCGAGUGGCGAACGGGUGAGUAACACGUGGGUGAUCUGCCCCUCACUUUGGGAUAAGCCUGGGAAACUGGGUCUAAUACUGGAUAGGACCAUGCUGUAGGUGGUGUGGUGGAAAGAUUAGUUUCGGUAAGGGAUGAGCUCGCGGCCUAUCCGCGUGUUGGUGGGGUAGUAGUCUACCAAGGCGUCGACGGGGGGCGGGCGUGAGAGGGUGGGCGGGGACAUUGGGAGUGUGAGACGGCCCAGAGACCUACGGGAGGCGGCAGUGGGGAAAAUGGCGCAAUAGGGGCAAGCCUCAGGCGGCGACGCGGCGUGGGGGGUGACGGCGUCCUGGUUGUGAACUCCUUGCAGCCAUGACAAAGCCCUUGUGGUGACGGUAGUGGGAGAAGAAGCACCGGCUAACUACGUG
RNAcentral lists this ribosomal RNA (469 nucleotides) under uncultured bacterium. RNAcentral describes it as "partial 16S ribosomal RNA". It matches the Rfam family "Bacterial small subunit ribosomal RNA", at positions 28 to 507 of the family's 1533-position model. The record is from RNAcentral.